AGCUCCAAUAGCGUAUAUUAAAGUUGUUGCCGUUAAAAAGCUCGUAGUCGAACUUCGGCGCCUGAUGGCCGGUCCGCCUUCUUGGUGUGUACUUGCUCAUCGGGCGCUUACCUCCUGGUGAACUCUGAUGUCCUUUAUUGGGUGUCAGAGCAAACCAGGACGUUUACUUUGAAAAAAUUAGAGUGUUCAAAGCAGGCCUACGCCCGAAUACAUUAGCAUGGAAUAAUAGAAUAGGACGCGCGUUCCCAUUUUGUUGGUUUCUGAGAUCGCCGUAAUGAUUAAUAGGGAUAGUUGGGGGCAUUUGUAUUCCGUCGUCAGAGGUGAAAUUCUUGGAUUGCCGGAAGACAAACUACUGCGAAAGCAUUUGCCAAGGAUGUUUUCA
RNAcentral lists this ribosomal RNA (382 nucleotides) under uncultured fungus. Its description in RNAcentral is "SSU rRNA". It matches the Rfam family "Eukaryotic small subunit ribosomal RNA", at positions 587 to 972 of the family's 1831-position model. The record is from RNAcentral. Lineage: Eukaryota; Fungi.